UUUAUAUAAAGAAAUUACACAGUUCCUCUUUGGUAACCUCAAUCCUGAAAGUUAGUGUGACAGGCCUACAGCUUUUUGUUCUCUUCAUCACUCCAGAAGUUGCAGACUGCGCUCAGCAAGACCUCACAACAUGGAGGAAAAUUAAAGAGAUAAGUGGUCCAUGGAGUAUCCCCUUACCCCACCAUAAAUUGGCAUAAUUUUGUGCACAAUCCAGGGAGAAGAAAAAGAAGACCAGAAGCUUGCAAACCAUUCGAGAGAAGGAAGGGAGCUUUGUCAUGUUGCCAUCUGAGGGACCAUUUCAGUAGAGCCUUUUAAGACACAUGUUUUGGAAUACAGUCAAAUGCGUGCUGCUGUAUGACCAGCCUAUUUGAUUAUGCCUCCAAAUCCUACAGAAGUAUAACAACCAUAGAACAGACAAACACCAACAGCAUCAACAACAGAGAAACUCAGUCCAGGAGGAUAUGAAACCCUUUGUAAUAAAGAAAGCAA
Molecule: long non-coding RNA, 489 nt
Organism: Homo sapiens (human)
Lineage: Eukaryota; Metazoa; Chordata; Mammalia; Primates; Hominidae
Gene: ROCR
Product: regulator of chondrogenesis RNA
Source: Ensembl